AGCCCGGUGGUGUAGCGGACAAGCAUGAGCUUAAUAAAGCUCAUUGAAUUGCGGGCUUUGGACCCGCCGACGGGAGAUAAUUCCUGAAUUCGAAUCUCCCCCGGGCUACCA
This 111-nucleotide transfer RNA is filed under the name Candidatus Bathyarchaeota archaeon. RNAcentral describes it as "tRNA-Gln". The record is from RNAcentral. Lineage: Archaea; Thermoproteati; Candidatus Bathyarchaeota.